UAGUCCACGCCGUAAACGAUGGAUACUAGGUGUCCGGGAUAUUAACCUCCUGGGUACUACAGUUAACGCGUUAAGUAUCCCGCCUGGGGAGUACGGUCGCAAGGCUAAAACUCAAAGGAAUUGACGGGGGCCCGCACAAGCGGUGGAGUAUGUGGUUUAAUUCGAAGCAACGCGCAGAACCUUACCUACCCUUAACAUUUCACGACGUAUACAGAGAUGUAUAUUUCUCUUCGGAGACGUGAGGAUAGGUGCUGCAUGGCUGUCGUCAGCUCGUGUCGUAAGAUGUCUGGUUAAGUCCAAUAACGAGCGCAACCCUUAUCCUUAGUUACCAGCAUUAAGUUGGGGACUCUAGGGAGACUGCCGGUGUAAGCCGCGAGGAAGGUGGGGAUGACGUCAAAUCAUCAUGGCCUUUAUGCCUAGGGCUACACACGUGCUACAAUGGUGCAUACAGAGGGUAGCGAAGCCGCGAGGUGGAGCCAAUCGCAUAAAAUGCAUCCCAGUUCGGAUUGAAGUCUGGAA
Molecule: ribosomal RNA, 519 nt
Filed under: uncultured bacterium
Lineage: Bacteria
Description: bacterial SSU rRNA
Rfam family: Bacterial small subunit ribosomal RNA
Source: RNAcentral